CAAGCAUUGCUACAUUAAAGAAAAUGCAUAUAUGCAUCCAUUUGUAUGUUGCUGUGUUUUACAGAGUCUUCUGCAGCAGACAGAGUCAGAGCAUCCAGACUAUUACCUGUUACUGGUGUCUGUGCAACAACUCCGAUCUUUCAGGACCCAGUACAGCCAUCUGCUACAGCACAACCAGGAGCUCACCCUCAGUCAUGCCCUGCGAGAACACACACACAACCUGUGCACACACCAGCAGGAGCGGCCCUCACACACCCGAAAAGAGCUUAGCAGGUCUACAGUGAGACAGCUGUAUAGUCGACUAUGAGAAAAAUUACAGCAACACCAGCACACAAAAUGAUCCCUCUCGAUGUAACAAACGCUACCCUGACUAUGAAACGGCACCCUAUCACUGAAAUCCCACCCAGAAAUCCCAUCCCCUGUCUCCUUCCUGUCUGACUCUGACUCUCGCCACAAAGCCAUCUCAGUUC
This 470-nucleotide long non-coding RNA is filed under the name Sinocyclocheilus anshuiensis. RNAcentral's name for it is "lncRNA (ENSSANG00000036227.1)". The record is from RNAcentral. Lineage: Eukaryota; Metazoa; Chordata; Actinopteri; Cypriniformes; Cyprinidae.